This 472-nucleotide ribosomal RNA is filed under the name uncultured bacterium. RNAcentral's name for it is "SSU rRNA". It matches the Rfam family "Bacterial small subunit ribosomal RNA", at positions 26 to 518 of the family's 1533-position model. The record is from RNAcentral.
AGGACGAACGCUGGCGGCGUGCUUAACACAUGCAAGUCGAGCGGAAAGGCCCUUCGGGGUACUCGAGCGGCGAACGGGUGAGUAACACGUGAGCAACCUGCCCUUAGCUUCGGGAUAGCUCCGGGAAACCGGAAUUAAUACCGGAUAUGACUAUGGCCGACAUCAGCCAUGGUGGAAAGUUUUUCGGCUAGGGAUGGACUCGCGGCCUAUCAGCUAGUUGGUGAGGUAACGGCUCACCAAGGCGACGACGGGUAGCCGGCCUGAGAGGGCGACCGGCCACACUGGGACUGAGACACGGCCCAGACUCCUACGGGAGGCAGCAGUGGGGAAUAUUGCGCAAUGGGCGAAAGCCUGACGCAGCGACGCCGCGUGGGGGAUGAAUGCCUUCGGGUUGUAAACCCCUUUCAGCAGGGACGAAGCGAAGUGACGGUACCUGCAGAGAAGCGCCGGCUAACUACGUGCCAGCAGCCGC